UACGUAGGGGGCGAGCGUUGUCCGGAAUGACUGGGCGUAAAGGGUGCGUAGGCGGCCCGAGAGGUCCUGGGUGAAAGGCCCCGGCUCAACUGGGGAGGGUCAUUCGAUACUGUCCGACUUGAAGGUAGGAGAGAGAAGCAGAAUUCCCGGUGUAGUGGUGAAAUGCGUAGAUAUCGGGAGGAAUACCAGUGGCGAAGGCGGCUUCUUGGCCUAUUCUUGACGCUGAGGCGCGAAAGCUGGGGGAGCAAACGGG
RNAcentral lists this ribosomal RNA (253 nucleotides) under uncultured bacterium. RNAcentral's name for it is "partial 16S ribosomal RNA". It matches the Rfam family "Bacterial small subunit ribosomal RNA", at positions 524 to 776 of the family's 1533-position model. The record is from RNAcentral.